Molecule: long non-coding RNA, 374 nt
Organism: Crotalus tigris (Tiger rattlesnake)
Lineage: Eukaryota; Metazoa; Chordata; Lepidosauria; Squamata; Viperidae
Exons: 2
Source: RefSeq, a predicted model, not a curated record
ACUUACGACCAUUUCUUCAGUGGCCGUCCGAGGUUACGAUAGUGCUGAAAAUGGUGACUUACAGCCAGUUCUGGCACGUACUGCAGAAUCCCCCCACCAUCACGUGAACAAAAUUUGGGCGUAUGGCCUCCGAUUUCGUUCCCGGUUUGAGCGCACCCACCCAAUUCCAAAAGAGAACCCAAGCUUUUGGCCAUUGAAAAGAUAAAUAGAAAUCCUUGUUGUACAGAUUGCUGGGCUGCGAUUUCCAGAAAGCUACACAACACCGAUAUUUUUUUUCUUGGUUGGUUUCCGGUUUUAAAAGUGCCCUUGUUUAUUCUGGGUUCUUUUUGCCUUCCUCUCUGGAAAACUAAAAAUAAAAACUGGUACAGAAGGCA